AUGAGAUAGAGCCUCAUAGCACAGAAACCACAGAGGACGAGUUUCUUAGCUUUGUCAUCUCUGAAAUGGGAAUAAUAAUAUUACUCCCAUCUUGCAAGGCUUUGGGGAAGAUGAGAGCGAAUGUGAAAAGGUCUAUGGGAGAGGUCCUUGUGGGUUAAGGUGUGGGGGGAGUCCCCAGCCCCUCCGCGGGCACUCAGAGGGAUGUGGGAGGACUGUGGAGCCUGUGCUUAUUGAUGCUGUUUCUUUUCAAUCAAACCUCUGUCAGAAACAAUGCAUGACAUCAAAAUGGAGGAGAUGUCGAGUUUGAACGGUCCUGUAAGACCUGCCUGAGAACAGGGCCAGGAGCCACCCCUUGGCAUACUCUACGCCUGUCACUGGGCCCAGCAAUCACAGAACUCAGGACAUGGAUGCAAUUAAAUAAAGAAAACCUCUGUGAUUCUCUGGCGCUGACAACACCCUGGAAUGCAUCUACAGCUCCAGGGCCGCCAUUUUGUCCUAAGAGGAAGCCAGCUUCCUCCCUCAGGAAGGAAACCCAGGUCAAGAGGACGGAAUGGUUACUCAUGUCAUGUGUGCUCAGUGGCUGCCCAUCUCAGCGUCAGCGGUAUGAACAGAGCACUCUGGAGG
Molecule: non-coding RNA, 624 nt
Organism: Chlorocebus sabaeus (green monkey)
Lineage: Eukaryota; Metazoa; Chordata; Mammalia; Primates; Cercopithecidae
Source: RefSeq, a predicted model, not a curated record